This 465-nucleotide ribosomal RNA is filed under the name Vreelandella stevensii. RNAcentral's name for it is "partial 16S ribosomal RNA". It matches the Rfam family "Bacterial small subunit ribosomal RNA", at positions 338 to 795 of the family's 1533-position model. Lineage: Bacteria; Pseudomonadati; Pseudomonadota; Gammaproteobacteria; Oceanospirillales; Halomonadaceae. The record is from RNAcentral.
CCUACGGGUGGCUGCAGUGGGGAAUAUUGGACAAUGGGGGCAACCCUGAUCCAGCCAUGCCGCGUGUGUGAAGAAGGCCCUCGGGUUGUAAAGCACUUUCAGUGAGGAAGAACGCCUGGUGGUUAAUACCCAUCAGGAAAGACAUCACUCACAGAAGAAGCAGCGGCUAACUCCGUGCCAGCAGCCGCGGUAAUACGGAGGGUGCGAGCGUUAAUCGGAAUUACUGGGCGUAAAGCGCGCGUAGGUGGCUUGAUAAGCCGGUUGUGAAAGCCCCGGGCUCAACCUGGGAACGGCAUCCGGAACUGUCAAGCUAGAGGGCAGGAGAGGAAGGUAGAAUUCCCGGUGUAGCGGUGAAAUGCGUAGAGAUCGGGAGGAAUACCAGUGGCGAAGGCGGCCUUCUGGACUGACACUGACACUGAGGUGCGAAAGCGUGGGUAGCAAACAGGAUUAGAUACCCUUGUAGUC